AUUGAACGCUGGCGGCAUGCCUUACACAUGCAAGUCGAACGGCAGCACGGAGCUUGCUCUGGUGGCGAGUGGCGAACGGGUGAGUAAUAUAUCGGAACGUACCCUAGAGUGGGGGAUAACGUAGCGAAAGUUACGCUAAUACCGCAUACGAUCUAAGGAUGAAAGUGGGGGAUCGCAAGACCUCAUGCUCGUGGAGCGGCCGAUAUCUGAUUAGCUAGUUGGUAGGGUAAAAGCCUACCAAGGCAUCGAUCAGUAGCUGGUCUGAGAGGACGACCAGCCACACUGGAACUGAGACACGGUCCAGACUCCUACGGGAGGCAGCAGUGGGGAAUUUUGGACAACGGGCGAAAGCCUGAUCCAGCAAUGCCGCGUGAGUGAAGAAGGCCUUCGGGUUGUAAAGCUCUUUUGUCAGGGAAGAAACGGUGGGAGCUAAUAUCUCUUGCUAAUGACGGUACCUGAAGAAUAAGCACCGGCUAACUACGUGCCAGCAGCCGCGGUAAUACGUAGGGUGCAAGCGUUAAUCGGAAUUACUGGGCGUAAAGCGUGCGCAGGCGGUUUUGUAAGUCUGAUGUGAAAUCCCCGGGCUCAACCUGGGAAUUGCAUUGGAGACUGCAAGGCUAGAAUCUGGCAGAGGGGGGUAGAAUUCCACGUGUAGCAGUGAAAUGCGUAGAUAUGUGGAGGAACACCGAUGGCGAAGGCAGCCCCCUGGGUCAAGAUUGACGCUCAUGCACGAAAGCGUGGGGAGCAAACAGGAUUAGAUACCCUGGUAGUCCACGCCCUAAACGAUGUCUACUAGUUGUCGGGUCUUAAUUGACUUGGUAACGCAGCUAACGCGUGAAGUAGACCGCCUGGGGAGUACGGUCGCGAGAUUAAAACUCAAAGGAAUUGACGGGGACCCGCACAAGCGGUGGAUGAUGUGGAUUAAUUCGAUGCAACGCGAAAAACCUUACCUACCCUUGACAUGGCUGGAAUCCUUGAGAGAUCAGGGAGUGCUCGAAAGAGAACCAGUACACAGGUGCUGCAUGGCUGUCGUCAGCUCGUGUCGUGAGAUGUUGGGUUAAGUCCCGCAACGAGCGCAACCCUUGUCAUUAGUUGCUACGAAAGGGCACUCUAAUGAGACUGCCGGUGACAAACCGGAGGAAGGUGGGGAUGACGUCAAGUCCUCAUGGCCCUUAUGGGUAGGGCUUCACACGUCAUACAAUGGUACAUACAGAGCGCCGCCAACCCGCGAGGGGGAGCUAAUCGCAGAAAGUGUAUCGUAGUCCGGAUUGUAGUCUGCAACUCGACUGCAUGAAGUUGGAAUCGCUAGUAAUCGCGGAUCAGCAUGUCGCGGUGAAUACGUUCCCGGGUCU
RNAcentral lists this ribosomal RNA (1352 nucleotides) under uncultured bacterium. Its description in RNAcentral is "bacterial SSU rRNA". It matches the Rfam family "Bacterial small subunit ribosomal RNA", at positions 28 to 1381 of the family's 1533-position model. The record is from RNAcentral.